This 1527-nucleotide ribosomal RNA is filed under the name Neisseria gonorrhoeae MS11. Its description in RNAcentral is "bacterial SSU rRNA". It matches the Rfam family "Bacterial small subunit ribosomal RNA". The record is from RNAcentral. Lineage: Bacteria; Pseudomonadati; Pseudomonadota; Betaproteobacteria; Neisseriales; Neisseriaceae.
AGAGUUUGAUCCUGGCUCAGAUUGAACGCUGGCGGCAUGCUUUACACAUGCAAGUCGGACGGCAGCACAGGGAAGCUUGCUUCUCGGGUGGCGAGUGGCGAACGGGUGAGUAACAUAUCGGAACGUACCGGGUAGCGGGGGAUAACUGAUCGAAAGAUCAGCUAAUACCGCAUACGUCUUGAGAGGGAAAGCAGGGGACCUUCGGGCCUUGCGCUAUCCGAGCGGCCGAUAUCUGAUUAGCUGGUUGGCGGGGUAAAGGCCCACCAAGGCGACGAUCAGUAGCGGGUCUGAGAGGAUGAUCCGCCACACUGGGACUGAGACACGGCCCAGACUCCUACGGGAGGCAGCAGUGGGGAAUUUUGGACAAUGGGCGCAAGCCUGAUCCAGCCAUGCCGCGUGUCUGAAGAAGGCCUUCGGUUGUAAGGACUUUGUCAGGGAAGAAAGGCCGUUGCCAAUAUCGGCGGCCGAUGACGGUACCUGAAGAAUAAGCACCGGCUAACUACGUGCCAGCAGCCGCGGUAAUACGUAGGGUGCGAGCGUUAAUCGGAAUUACUGGGCGUAAAGCGGGCGCAGACGGUUACUUAAGCAGGAUGUGAAAUCCCCGGGCUCAACCCGGGAACUGCGUUCUGAACUGGGUGACUCGAGUGUGUCAGAGGGAGGUGGAAUUCCACGUGUAGCAGUGAAAUGCGUAGAGAUGUGGAGGAAUACCGAUGGCGAAGGCAGCCUCCUGGGAUAACACUGACGUUCAUGUCCGAAAGCGUGGGUAGCAAACAGGAUUAGAUACCCUGGUAGUCCACGCCCUAAACGAUGUCAAUUAGCUGUUGGGCAACUUGAUUGCUUGGUAGCGUAGCUAACGCGUGAAAUUGACCGCCUGGGGAGUACGGUCGCAAGAUUAAAACUCAAAGGAAUUGACGGGGACCCGCACAAGCGGUGGAUGAUGUGGAUUAAUUCGAUGCAACGCGAAGAACCUUACCUGGUUUUGACAUGUGCGGAAUCCUCCGGAGACGGAGGAGUGCCUUCGGGAGCCGUAACACAGGUGCUGCAUGGCUGUCGUCAGCUCGUGUCGUGAGAUGUUGGGUUAAGUCCCGCAACGAGCGCAACCCUUGUCAUUAGUUGCCAUCAUUCGGUUGGGCACUCUAAUGAGACUGCCGGUGACAAGCCGGAGGAAGGUGGGGAUGACGUCAAGUCCUCAUGGCCCUUAUGACCAGGGCUUCACACGUCAUACAAUGGUCGGUACAGAGGGUAGCCAAGCCGCGAGGCGGAGCCAAUCUCACAAAACCGAUCGUAGUCCGGAUUGCACUCUGCAACUCGAGUGCAUGAAGUCGGAAUCGCUAGUAAUCGCAGGUCAGCAUACUGCGGUGAAUACGUUCCCGGGUCUUGUACACACCGCCCGUCACACCAUGGGAGGUGGGGGAGUACCAGAAGUAGGUAGGGUAACCGCAAGGAGUCCGCUUACCACGGUAUGCUUCAUGACUGGGGUGAAGUCGUAACAAGGUAGCCGUAGGGGAACCUGCGGCUGGAUCACCU